CGGCGGACGGGUGAGUAACACGUGGAUAACUUACCUAUAAGACUGGGAUAACUUCGGGAAACCGGAGCUAAUACCGGAUAAUAUAUUGAACCGCAUGGUUCAAUAGUGAAAGACGGUUUUGCUGUCACUUAUAGAUGGAUCCGCGCCGCAUUAGCUAGUUGGUAAGGUAACGGCUUACCAAGGCAACGAUGCGUAGCCGACCCGAGAGGGUGAUCGGCCACACUGGAACUGAGACACGGUCCAGACUCCUACGGGAGGCAGCAGCG
Molecule: ribosomal RNA, 266 nt
Filed under: uncultured Staphylococcus sp.
Lineage: Bacteria; Bacillati; Bacillota; Bacilli; Caryophanales; Staphylococcaceae
Description: partial 16S ribosomal RNA
Rfam family: Bacterial small subunit ribosomal RNA
Source: RNAcentral